Long non-coding RNA from Lycium ferocissimum, 1081 nucleotides. RefSeq lists it as uncharacterized. The record is from RefSeq and is a predicted model, not a curated record. NCBI's taxonomy places the organism in Eukaryota, Viridiplantae, Streptophyta, Magnoliopsida, Solanales, Solanaceae. The transcript has 2 exons.
UAAAAAAAACCCUGUACUUUGCAUUUUUUUUCAAUAAGACAUAUGUACUUUCGAAAGGUCCUAUUACCUCCCUGUACCACUUAUAUAUGUAAUAAAUACACACUUCUGACCUGGUUUGGCAAAACGUGUGUGUGCAUGCUCUGUAGGAGCGUGAAGAAAAAAUUUGGGCUUCAAAGAAGCCAAUCAUAUUUUGCCACGUGGCUGCCCAAACUUAAAAAAAUAGAACGUUAAGUUUUCAUGUUCUUCUUCAACGUUAAAGUCAGUUGCAGUAGCAGCCAUACUCUCAACUUUUGUUCUUCUUCUUCCCCAAAGUAAAAUUCUAUCACCCAAAAUCAGAUUGAAAAAGGUAUUAAAUUUCUUUUUUUCUUCUUUAAUUUUAUUGUCUUCCUAACUUAUAGUCUUUGUUUUUUUUUUUCAAAGAAUAAAACUCGUUCUAUAUUCUCCUAGUUAGGGUUUGAGAAAAAUCAUGUCAAAGCGUAGCUUCACUCGCAUUUGUAAAGAUGAUACUGAUCCAAUGUUGCGUGAAAGUGUGCGAUGCAAACACGGGGACUUGCUGACCUUGCAGACUUCUUGGUCGGAGUAUAAUCCCGUAAGAAGAUUUUGGUCGUGCCCACGCUAUCGAGAAAACUCAUGCAAGUUCUUUAGGUGGAGGGAUCGGGAACAAAUUGAUGAUAGAUCCAAAUGGGUUAUAUCAAGAUUGGGAAAUGAAUUUUGGAUCUGGAAAAAAAAAAUAAUGUUUUAUGAAACAAUGGAGAAUGAGUCUCAAUUGAUAACGGAGGGAAGUUUUUAUCAAGUUCAAGUGGAUUCGACGACCAAUUAUUCUAUAUUUAAUGGGAAGCAAAUCAUGUUUGUUGGUAUCGGCAUUUUGUUAUUAGGUGUCUUAUUAAGCUUUUGUUGAUGUUGUCCGAAUAAACUCAAAGAUGAAACUUUGUUUGUUCUCUUUCUUUUGCGUAAGUUUUAAAUUAGUGUAGGUAUUUAUUGUAUUGUCUUGAAUUAUGCGUUAGUUAAUGUAAUGUAAUGUUGUUUAUCGAAUAGUAAUAUGAAUUGUGCGUUAAUGUAAUGUAAUGUAAUGUCAUCUAUC